UGUUCUGUGGUUUAGUUGGUUAAAGCGCCAGUCUAACGAAUACGGAGUCGUGGGUUCAAAUCUCACUAGAACGC
Aedes albopictus (Asian tiger mosquito) is the source of this 74-nucleotide non-coding RNA. The record is from Rfam. NCBI's taxonomy places the organism in Eukaryota, Metazoa, Arthropoda, Insecta, Diptera, Culicidae.